GCCUAUUAUCUCAUUUUAUCCUCAAAACAACUUCAGAGAAGUAACUUGCUAAAAGAUCACAAAACUAGUAAGCAUUAGACUCUAGCCUGUGAAGGAAAGAUCUGCGUCUGUCUGUCUCUCCAUUGAAUCCCCAGCACCUACCCAGGUUGCAACCUGGCACACAAGAAGAGCUCAAUGAAUAUGAAUAAACAAUACCUAAACAAAGUCAGGAUAUACACUCAAGGCAAAUUGAUCCAAAGUCCAUGCUUUUUCCACUUAUGUUAAAUAGAUACAAAAUUAAAAAAUACGUGACUGAGAACAAAAUAAGUACAGUUGAAUUUGGCUGUUUCACAGAGAUUAGCCGGAUUUGACUGUCUGACAGGGAUUGGCUGAAUGAUCUUUGCUAACCUUCAUGCAGGCAAGCAGGAGGAAGAAUGAAAUGACCCAAAGCCACCGAGGUUUUUAUUUUGGCAUUAGCUACUGCAGAGAGAUAGUAGGCAUGAAAAACUGUAGCAUUAUCUUCUAUGUAAUCAAGGCUCUGAUAUAUUCUAGGAGAAAGAAAGGAAAUAUUUUAGGUUAUGAAACAAACAAGAAUGUAUUCAACCUUUCAAAAGAAUAAAUAAAUAACUGGAAGUAGGGAGACGACUACAUUGAUGCAUACAUCUAUGUGUCCUUUUCUGGCAAGGAAGGAAAAACGUAUGGCAUAAGAUACUACUUUCUGGGGGCCUAUAUCUGGCACAUCUCAGCUUUACAGGGUUGGUUAAUGACCAUAUGAAUUAGAAAACUUGAUCUAAAACGGUCGUGUUUACUAGGCAUCAACAGUGGAUUGAGCUAGCGGCCUAUGGGUCUUAUCCAUGGUCAUUGCUAUAAACAGGUAUCAAUUAAUCCUGAAGUGAGGAGCGCUCAUGCAGUCAGAAAAACCUUCACAUACAGAAAGCAACAUCUUUUCUACAGGUGGAGAUAAGAAGAGCAUUACAAGAAAAAGGCGUGCGUGAAGGCACAAUAAUGGCAGUUCGGGUUGACUGGGCUACGGAAGGCGUGAGAAAAACUGGGAAAUAAACAAGGCUGGAGUGCGAUCUUGGCUCACUGCAACCUCUGCCUCCCGAGUUCAAGUAAUUCUCCUGCUUCAGUCUCCCGAGCAGCUGGGAUUAUAGGUGUCCGCCACGGCGCCCCGCCUCAUCAGUAUUAGUGGGCUGCAACUUCCUUCCCUAACUCCCGGCUCAUCCUAACGUAAGUGGCGCUGCCAGGUGGCCCUCAGUACCUCAGCGUGUCUGGGUGCGAGGCAUCACAGCUGAACAAGAAGUCGGCGGCUCGCGGGUCACUGAUCGUCCCCCCUUCAGCCACUGUGGAGGUAAGAGCACGGGGUGAACCUAUCAAGCACCCUGGACCCAAAGCAUCAGAGAGAGGAGGAUGCUCCCCUCACCACCUAACCCGCUGCUUCCACUCAGCUUCCUACCCCAGAAUUGCCUCAGAUCCCGGCUAACGCUGCGGCAAAACCAACCGCGCUGCCCUUGAAACAUGGCGUCGCCAAGCCUGCGCGGACGUGAGAGAGGAGGCCCCAGAGCUGAGAUCCCUGAUUGGUUCCAGGUCCAACGCCAAGCUCAAUGAUUGGUUCCCAAGAGAAACGGCCGGGAAAGGCCUGAGGCCCUCAGGUGAGGGACGGUCUCUGACUGCUUAUCCGGAUCACUUAGGGGCCUCUCAGCCUUGCCCUGAUAAGAGGAGGAGAGCCACUCGAGUUGUGUUCUGCCCUCCUCGGCCUCCCAAAGUGAUGGAAUUACAGGCGUGAGCCACCAUGCCCAGCCUAUCAGACCUUUCAAAAACAACAUACAAAGGAAAACAAUCAUAAGCAUGAUGAAGUAACACCAAAUGAAAUAAAGACCCUUGGGGAAAACAGUGAACUUGCAACAGAGCACAUAAAAGAAUUAUCCGAAAGGCACUGAAUUCAUAAACUUCACUGAUACUCAAUUCAGUGUAGACAUCUGUGAGCACUGAUUGUGUGCUUAUCUCAUUUAAUUUUCAGUUUUCCUAUGAGAUUGAUAGCAUUAUAAUCAUUUCCAUUACACAAAAAAAGAGAUCUAUGAUUAGAAAGAUAAGCAAUCUCCCCAAAGUCAUACAAACAUUUAUUAAGUAGGGGAGAAGCAAGAUUUGAAGUGAGUCAGAGCCCAGUCAUUUAAAUGUCAGUCAUUAAAUACAAUACUACGUAUUUACUAUGUAGCAUACUAUACUAUCUCAUAGUAUAGCACACUAUACUGUCUCUGCAGAAAGGAA
Long non-coding RNA from Cercocebus atys (sooty mangabey), 2247 nucleotides. RefSeq lists it as uncharacterized. Lineage: Eukaryota; Metazoa; Chordata; Mammalia; Primates; Cercopithecidae. The record is from RefSeq and is a predicted model, not a curated record. The transcript is spliced from 4 exons.